GGAGAGUUGGGAGAGUGGUUUAAUCCAACUGACUUGAAAUCAGUCGUACAGCAAUGUACCGGGGGUUCGAAUCCCUCACUCUCCG
RNAcentral lists this transfer RNA (85 nucleotides) under Caudoviricetes sp. RNAcentral's name for it is "tRNA-Ser". It matches the Rfam family "tRNA". Rfam says of the family: Transfer RNA (tRNA) molecules are approximately 80 nucleotides in length. Their secondary structure includes four short double-helical elements and three loops (D, anti-codon, and T loops). Lineage: Duplodnaviria; Heunggongvirae; Uroviricota; Caudoviricetes. The record is from RNAcentral.